GACGAACGCUGGCGGCGUGCUUAACACAUGCAAGUCGAACGGAAAGGCCCUGCUUUUGUGGGGUGCUCGAGCGGCGAACGGGUGAGUAACACGUGAGUAACCUGCCCUUGACUUUGGGAUAACUUCAGGAAACUGGGGCUAAUACCGGAUAGGAGCUCCUGCUGCAUGGUGGGGGUUGGAAAGUUUCGGCGGUUGGGGAUGGACUCGCGGCUUAUCAGCUUGUUGGUGGGGUAGUGGCUUACCAAGGCUUUGACGGGUAGCCGGCCUGAGAGGGUGACCGGCCACAUUGGGACUGAGAUACGGCCCAGACUCCUACGGGAGGCAGCAGUGGGGAAUAUUGCACAAUGGGCGGAAGCCUGAUGCAGCAACGCCGCGUGCGGUAUGAAGGCCUUCGGGUUGUAAACCGCUUUCGCCUGUGACGAAGCGUGAGUGACGGUAAUGGGUAAAGAAGCACCGGCUAACUACGUG
RNAcentral lists this ribosomal RNA (468 nucleotides) under uncultured bacterium. RNAcentral's name for it is "partial 16S ribosomal RNA". It matches the Rfam family "Bacterial small subunit ribosomal RNA", at positions 28 to 507 of the family's 1533-position model. The record is from RNAcentral.